AGCUCUCCGAGUGGUGUGGAUGUUUAUUGGGCCUAAAGCAUCCGUAGCUGGCUAGGUAAGUCCCUUGUUAAAUCCACCGAAUUAAUCGUUGGAUCGCGGGGGAUACUGCUUGGCUAGGGGACGAGAGAGGCAGACGGUAUUCUCGGGGUAGGGGUGAAAUCCUAUAAUCCCGGGAAGACCACCAGUGGCGAAGGCUGUCUGCUAGAACGCGCCCGACGGUGAGGGAUGAAAGCUGGGGGGAGCGAACC
RNAcentral lists this ribosomal RNA (248 nucleotides) under uncultured crenarchaeote. RNAcentral's name for it is "partial 16S ribosomal RNA". It matches the Rfam family "Archaeal small subunit ribosomal RNA", at positions 478 to 725 of the family's 1478-position model. Lineage: Archaea; Thermoproteati; Thermoproteota. The record is from RNAcentral.